This 696-nucleotide ribosomal RNA is filed under the name uncultured bacterium. RNAcentral describes it as "bacterial SSU rRNA". It matches the Rfam family "Bacterial small subunit ribosomal RNA", at positions 32 to 715 of the family's 1533-position model. The record is from RNAcentral.
AACGCUAGCUACAGGCUUAACACAUGCAAGUCGAGGGGAAACGACAUCGAAAGCUUGCUUUUGAUGGGCGUCGACCGGCGCACGGGUGAGUAACGCGUAUCCAACCUGCCCACCACUUGGGGAUAACCUUGCGAAAGUAAGACUAAUACCCGAUGAUAUCUCUAGACGACAUCUGAAAGGGAUUAAAGAUUUAUCGGUGAUGGAUGGGGAUGCGUCUGAUUAGCUUGUUGGCGGGGUAACGGCCCACCAAGGCGACGAUCAGUAGGGGUUCUGAGAGGAAGGUCCCCCACAUUGGAACUGAGACACGGUCCAAACUCCUACGGGAGGCAGCAGUGAGGAAUAUUGGUCAAUGGGCGAGAGCCUGAACCAGCCAAGUAGCGUGCAGGACGACGGCCCUAUGGGUUGUAAACUGCUUUUAUAAGGGAAUAAAGUGAGUCUCGUGAGACUUUUUGCAUGUACCUUAUGAAUAAGGACCGGCUAAUUCCGCGCCAGCAGCCGCGGUAAUACGGAAGGUCCGGGCGUUAUCCGGAUUUAUUGGGUUUAAAGGGAGCGUAGGCCGGAGAUUAAGCGUGUUGUGAAAUGUAGACGCUCAACGUCUGCACUGCAGCGCGAACUGGUUUCCUUGAGUACGCACAAAGUGGGCGGAAUUCGUGGUGUAGCGGUGAAAUGCUUAGAUAUCACGAAGAACUCCGAUUG